Molecule: long non-coding RNA, 461 nt
Filed under: Homo sapiens (human)
Lineage: Eukaryota; Metazoa; Chordata; Mammalia; Primates; Hominidae
Description: non-protein coding lnc-TAGLN2-1:1
Source: RNAcentral
GGGCCUGUGCUGGUCACGUAGGAGGGGAAGCUGGUGCCAGGCGUGCAGAGGCGUGUCUAGGAUACCAGGGCAAGGCUGGCCCAAGGACCUGGGGCGGGCAAGAUGGUGGAGAUGUGGUUUUCAAGAAGGCAGGGAGGCUGCAGAUUUGUUAAUGUCUUUCUCUUUGGUCUAGGAGAUAUCGCACUAUGGGAAUGUGGGGAAGGGGGUUGGUCAGAGCCUGGGGCUCUGUCUGUCAUUACUCUGGCAUUUCAACUCCUCAUUCAUGGCCUAAUUCCCCCUCCCUGGGAGUAGGGGCACCAAUAAUACUGUGGCCUGGCCUGUGUCCCCUUUUCUCCUCCUUCCUCCCUCUGCUCUCUAGACUUAGGGCCUCUAGCCGCAAGCACCCCUCAGUACUCCUCACUACCACCCUCACCCUAACAUCUCUGCCCCAGCUUUAUUCACCCCUACUCAUUCUCCUUGGU